Molecule: ribosomal RNA, 428 nt
Filed under: uncultured bacterium
Lineage: Bacteria
Description: bacterial SSU rRNA
Rfam family: Bacterial small subunit ribosomal RNA
Source: RNAcentral
CGCAAGCGUGAUGCAGCCAUGGGGCGUGUGUUAAGAAGGCGUUCGGGUUGUAAAGCACUUUCAGUCAGGAGGAAAGAUUAGUAUUUAAUACGUGAAAAAUGUGACGUUACUGACAGAAGAAGCACCGGCUAACUCCGUGCCAGCAGCCGCGGUAAUAAGGAGGGUGCGAGCGUUAAUCUGAAUUAUUGGGGGUAAAAAGGAGGCUGGCGGUUUUUUAAGCGAGAUGUGAAAGCCCCGGGCUCAACCUGGGAAUUGCAUUUGGAACUGGCAAACUAGAGUGUGAUAGAGGGGGGUGGAAUUUCAGGUGUAGCGGUGAAAUGUGUAGAGAUAUGAAGGAAAACCGAUGGCGAAGGCAGCCACCUGGGUCAACACUGACGCUCAUGUACGAAAGCGUGGGGAGCAAACAGGAUUAGAUACCCUGGUAGUCC